Molecule: ribosomal RNA, 509 nt
Filed under: uncultured bacterium
Lineage: Bacteria
Description: bacterial SSU rRNA
Rfam family: Bacterial small subunit ribosomal RNA
Source: RNAcentral
UGGCUCAGAACGAACGCUGGCGGCGCGUCUUAAGCAUGCAAGUCGAACGGCAAGAGGUAGCAAUACCUCCUAGAGUGGCGGACUGGUGAGUAACACGUGGGUGACAUACCCUUCAGAUGGGGAUAGCUAUUAGAAAUAGUAGAUAAUACCGAAUACGAGCACAGGGGUUAGAGAUCUGUGAGGAAAGGAGCUAAGGCUCCGCUGAAGGAAUGGCCUGCGGCCCAUUAGCUAGUUGGUGAGGUAAGAGCCCACCAAGGCGAUGAUGGGUAUCCGGCCUUAGAGGGUGAACGGACACAUUGGGACUGAGAUACGGCCCAGACUCCUACGGGAGGCAGCAGCUAAGAAUAUUCCGCAAUGGACGAAAGUCUGACGGAGCGACGCCGCGUGGAUGAAGAAGGCCGGAAGGUUGUAAAAUCCUUUUGAAACUGAAGAAUAAGCGUUGUAGGGAAUGACAGCGUGGUGACAGUAGGUUUUGAAUAAGCAACGGCUAAUUACGUGCCAGCAGCGGC